AAAGUUGCCCAUGCGAAAGUGUCCUAAUAUUGUCCUACAUAGGUCUAUAUCCUCUGUAGCCUGCCUCUGCGAGAACCUCGCACGACAGAGACAGGGUUUCGAAUUUCACAGUCAAUACAGUGGGCUUGCCUUCACACUCAUUUCAAGCACAAAGGAAAGAUGUGCAAAAAUGAUAUUGUAAACGUAACGUUUCGAUUUUAUUUAGCUAAUAUGUUUCUUUUUAUUCUAUACAUAGGCCUAAAACACAGGUUAAGCGUUGCGAUCCAUGAAAGGGGGCUGAUAGCGGCAUAUUCCGUGAAAGUAGGGAAGUAAAGUUAGGCUACAGGUAAAGCGGGCAAACAACAGUCUGGUAAGAGUCAAUAACAAAGACCCAAAGGACUCCACAAAUCCGGUGAAAAUAAGGUGAAAAUGGAAGACUUCGCUUGAGAAAUUCGUCCGAUUAUAAAAGAGGAACGUAAAGAACCAUGAUCCGAUGAAAAAAGAAUGCUAAACUUACCAGACAUGUUGUACAAAUUAAGAAGUACUCCUGGAAGAAGAGCAGUUAUGAGAUUCCACAAUGUCCUUUUCUGGCUGAGUUAUAUGGGCUAUAUCGAAAUAUUCAUAAAAGUCACAUAAAUUCUCAACACACAAGUCUUAAAACUGUCUCAGAGCAUACAAUAAUACCCUAAUAUAGCUAGGGAUAUAUUAGUUUGUGAAAUUUUCUCUCCAUGCCUACUUUUUAAAACCCCUAGAACUCAAUGAUUUGACAAUGAUUUGAUUGCGCGUUACUUUCAAUUUGAAUAUUCAAAGGCUACUCAAAAAUACAGAUUUUUCAGUAUAAAUCAAUACAUAUGCACUUAAAAUAACAUUUCAUUUAAUAUAAUUUAAUAAUAGUUUAUACCCAAACCAAAAAGAAAUUGACAUUUUGAACAUUUUAUCCAUCUUUUGCCAAUCUGCCCAUCAGUCCCUCUUCAUAAUGAGGCACAACAGGAAAGUAACGGUUAGAUGUUCUAUGUAAACAUGACCAACAAUUAAACAUCGCAGAUCAUAUGUAUUUCAGGAUGGAUGAGCACAUCAAAACGGUAUGACCAUACAUUUUUAGUCUUAUUUUAAACAAUAAACUAUGACAUGUCUAGGUUGUGGGCGUGGCAUAUGGUAGCAGCCAUUUCUGCCACCACUGACUCCAUUGCUCCCUCAGCAAUUGCAUGCUCCCCAUCACUGGAACUCACAUCACCCACGUCUUACCAAUUGUAUUAUAUUUGUUUUAGCAUUAUUUAGUGUAGUUACAUGAAUUAUAUAAUAUAAAGACUGAACGUUUCAGCUAUUCACAUGUCAAACCUGAUUUGACAUCCCAGGUCUCCUAUAUAUGAAUCGAGAAUACUAUCUACAAAUGUAUUACAAUGCAACAAUUCGGUUUACAAACGUCUGAUAUAUUUUCAAUUCAAUGACAAGACUCCCCGAUUAGUCUACUUGUGUAGGCUAGAACUACUUAGAUGUGGACAAAGUCAUUUCAAUUGAUAGACUUAUUUGAAUAGGGUUACUGUCCAUACCAGUUUACAUUUCUAAGAGUUUACAACUUAAUACAUAUGAUAUGAGAAAACAGCACAUUGCUUUAGAGAAAACCAUUUCCUAUAAAUGUUCUUCCAUUGUGAGCCUACAUUACAUUUGAAUAACAAUUUACAAACACAUCAAACAAUGAACUCUUGAACCUAGUUUUAAUUCAAAUAGCUUAGAUUUCAGUUUUGGGUUAUCGAUCUAUCAUUAUCCUCACUCAUAUAUUGAGAAAAUGCACACACUAUCUGCCCAAUACAAUCUAUGGCCUUUCCUGAUUUGUACUGGUAGGGGCCUAUACAAUGAUCCCUAUCAUGUAGGCCUAAAUCCCAUCAUCUCCACUGGGUAGGUAAUAUAAUAAUAAUAAUAUAUGCCAUUUAGCAGACGCUUUUAUCCAAAGCGACUUACAGUCAUGUGUGCAUACAUUCUACGUAUGGGUGGUCCCGGGAAUCGAACCCACUACCCUGGCGUUACAAGCGCCAUGCUCUACCAACUGAGCUUUUUGUAUUGACAAACUUCUGACCUUCCAUAAAGUAGGACCUAGGUCCAUUAUCCUAACUACCAAGAAUAUUAUGCUAGUGCUCUCAUAGAAUAUCUAACGUUUGGCUUUUUUUAUUAAUUUAUUGCUGCUGUUGCAAUCCCCCCCAUGAAUUACGCUAUCGUAAGAGACGAGGUAACACGAAAGAACCGCGCCAUCUAGUGUAGGAUAUACGUUAGUAGGUUCUCCCUAAGUCUUAAUUCGAUGUCGUGAUAACAGAACAAAGUAUAACUCAACAAACGGAAAAGGCAUGUUUUUUUUCAUGUGUCAUUUUAGCAAAAAAAAUAUGUUAAAUGCAUUUAUUGCAGUGUCUUUUAUUAUAAUGGAUUUAUAAUAAAGAAUUCUACUGCCCUAUA
Oncorhynchus keta (chum salmon) is the source of this 2424-nucleotide long non-coding RNA. RefSeq lists it as uncharacterized. The record is from RefSeq and is a predicted model, not a curated record. The transcript has 2 exons. Lineage: Eukaryota; Metazoa; Chordata; Actinopteri; Salmoniformes; Salmonidae.